GCCCUCGUGGUGCGAAUGUUAGCACGGCUGGCUACCAAACAGACGAUUUUGAGUUUAAACCCCAGUGAGGGCA
RNAcentral lists this transfer RNA (73 nucleotides) under Stegodyphus mimosarum. It matches the Rfam family "tRNA". From Rfam's summary of the family: Transfer RNA (tRNA) molecules are approximately 80 nucleotides in length. The record is from Rfam by way of RNAcentral. Lineage: Eukaryota; Metazoa; Arthropoda; Arachnida; Araneae; Eresidae.